RNAcentral lists this ribosomal RNA (1470 nucleotides) under human gut metagenome. RNAcentral's name for it is "bacterial LSU rRNA". It matches the Rfam family "Bacterial large subunit ribosomal RNA", at positions 1431 to 2925 of the family's 2925-position model. The record is from RNAcentral.
UUAGAUUCCUGUACCACGCAUUAUCAGAACUGUAGGGACGCAUGUGGAAAGCACGAGCCGGGAAUGGAAAGACCGGUACAAGCGGGGUAGGUGUACAAUAGGCAAAUCCGUUGUAUAAUCCGAAGACGUGAUGUGGAGCGAAAUAAAGUAGCGAAGCGUGUGAGCCAUGUGCCGAGAAAAGCUGCUAUUGUGUAAUGCGUGCCCGUACCGUAAACCGACACAGGUGGAUGAGGAGAGAAUCCUAAGGCCGACGGAAGAAGCAUUGUUAAGGAAUUCGGCAAAAUGACCCCGUAACUUCGGGAGAAGGGGUGCCUGCGAGAGCAGGCCGCAGAGAAUAGGCUCAAGCAACUGUUUAGCAAAAACACAGGUCUAUGCGAAACCGAAAGGUGAAGUAUAUGGGCUGACGCCUGCCCGGUGCUGGAAGGUUAAGAGGAGAGGUUAGCGCAAGCGAAGCUUUGAAUUUAAGCCCCAGUAAACGGCGGCCGUAACUAUAACGGUCCUAAGGUAGCGAAAUUCCUUGUCGGGUAAGUUCCGACCCGCACGAAAGGCGUAAUGAUUUGAGCGCUGUCUCGACAAUGCAUCCGGUGAAAUUGAAGUACCAGUGAAGAUGCUGGUUACCCGCGCCAGGACGGAAAGACCCCAUGGAGCUUUACUCCAGUUUGAUACUGGGAUUCGGUACUGCAUGUACAGGAUAGGUGGGAGACGAAGAAGGAUGGACGCCAGUCUGUCCGGAGUCGCUGUUGGGAUACCACCCCUGUAGUACUGGGUUUCUAACCAGUUGCCAUGAACUGGCAAUGGGACAAUGUCAGGCGGGGAGUUUGACUGGGGCGGUCGCCUCCGAAAGGGUAUCGGAGGCGCUCAAAGGUUCCCUCAGAAUGGUUGGAAACCAUUCGAAGAGUGCAAAGGCAGAAGGGAGCUUGACUGCGACACCGACGGGUGGAGCAGGUACGAAAGUAGGACUUAGUGAUCCGGUGGUAUAAAGUGGGAUUGCCAUCGCUCAACGGAUAAAAGCUACCCUGGGGAUAACAGGCUUAUCACUCCCAAGAGUUCACAUCGACGGAGUGGUUUGGCACCUCGAUGUCGGCUCAUCGCAUCCUGGGGCUGUAGUAGGUCCCAAGGGUUGGGCUGUUCGCCCAUUAAAGCGGUACGCGAGCUGGGUUCAGAACGUCGUGAGACAGUUCGGUCCCUAUCCGGCGCGGGCGUAGGAUAUUUGAGAGGAGCUGUCCUUAGUACGAGAGGACCGGGAUGGACAGACCGCUGGUGUACCUGUUGGCCUACCAAGGCCAUGGCAGGGUAGCCAAGUCUGGACGGGAUAAACGCUGAAGGCAUCUAAGCGUGAAGCCCCCCUCAAGAUGAGAUAUCCCAUCGCAAGAGUAAGACCCCUUGAAGACGACGAGGUAGAUAGGUCAGAGGUGGAAGUGCAGCAAUGCAUGGAGCUGACUGAUACUAAUCGGUCGAGGGCUUGACCAG